CAAAAAAAAAAAAAAAAAAUAACCAAAAGAAGCAAAACAAAUCUAUAUACCCAACAACUCUUAUAAAACAAUACACCUCAUUUAUAAUACUACACAGCUUGUUGGUUUGUAAUUUAUUUUAUAGAUACACAUUCCGUCGCAGUGUUAUGCGAUUCUAAUUUGGGUACCCAUUUUAGUCUCAUAGUUGCCUUCAAGCUUUAAAAUACCUACAUUUUUAUUUUCUACUCCUGAUAUUUUUGUUUUUCUUCUCUUUCUAUAAAAAGAAUUUUUAAAAUCUUUAAAAACAAAAAUACUCUCUUAUUUAUAAAAAUAGAUCUCUAUUUUAUUUAUUUUGCAAAAAUUUGUUUCUUUAAAUUAGUCAUACAUUUUUUUUAAAGCUUAUAUUUAUUUAUCCACAUGAACAUAAACAUAAAUUACCAUAAACCACAAAUUAAAUCUAUCUACAUCUACUCUCUACACUUCUACAACACUUAAUCAGUUCAGAAUUCAACUCAAUUAAAAAAAGAGAGAAAUAAACCAGAAAUGACAACACAAAAUAUCAUACACAACAACAAAAUGUUUUGUGUGCAAAAGAGAAUGCGCGAUGAAAGAGAAACAAAAAAAUGGUGUCUGCAUGCAACCAAACCACUGCCAGUCAGCCAGCUAAAACCAUAUCGCCAGACAGACGAGGAAAAUCUAACUAAAUCUUGAAACAAUUUUCCAUUCAAGUGCACAGAAAGAAAAUUCCUCGCAUAACCAAAGUUCCCCAACACACAACACCAACACGCAAAACACGAUACGACACAACCUAGAAGAAGUGAAUAACGAAUAAAAAAAACAUGGCUGCUAUAAACGCUGAGCGCCUGUUACAUUGGCGGCUUUGAGAUUUCUGUGUUACCUUGCUUACAACACUGCUUGCUCCUAUAGCGCUGCUGCUAGUUUCGGUCGGCUUCGGUCUGCCUGCGCUGUCUGUCACCAUCACACCACACAUGCGGCAGCGGCACGAGACACAGUCACACAAUCUCAAUCCCAGUGCAAAAAUGUGAAUAUAAUUCGAUGCUGCUUUUCGGAAUUCGCUUUGAAAAGUCAGACAUUUUCUAACUUGCUCAAUCCAACUGUAUUUUAUGCUCGCCCAGCAUAUUCCUCGAACAUCGAAUUUUACCUUCUUCAAUUGGUUUGGCCUGGCAUUCUGGCAUGCUGCUGGCAUGUUUGGGAUAAGAUCAUAAAUCUUGCGUUUUGUAUUCUCUCUCUCGUAUUUUGUGUAUUCCUCUCUCUCUCUCUCUUCUCGCCCCCUAACGGCCAAAAACAUAAACAUACUCAUACAUUCUUAAAGUAGAUGUAUGUGUAUGACCAACUGCGGGAAAUGGUACCAUGUGUGUGUGUUUGAAAUGUUUUGAAUGAAUUCGAAAAAACAGCUGACAGGUUGUGUUGUGACUUGUCAUCCACUAGUGGAGCCACUGUGCUGGUCAUCGAACUGCUAUCGAACUUGUUUGUUGCUCUCGUAUCUGUCAGAUACACUACACAGCCACUUGACAUCACACACUUCAUUUGUUGAAUGAAACAACAAAAAAAACAGGGUUAACAAAAAGAGAGAGAGAGAGAGUAUGAUAAAAUGCAGGCGAAUAACAGAAAAGAGAAAAAAAUAAAAACACAUGGUUGAGAGAGAGAGAGUAAGAGAGAGAGAACAACAACCAGGCCGGUUCGAUGAGUUUUUAUCUAUCUAAUUGUGUGUGCAAUUCCAAUUCGAAUUCCGGCAAGGCAGUUGAGGCUUUUGUGUGGUGUGUGCUGUUAGAUUAGAGGGCACGACUCCGACUUCCGACACACAGCUGUUUUUUCGCAGUAAAUUAGGGGCGAAGGAGAAUGUAUGUAUACACCAAAUCAGAGUAGAAAACGGAAUGAAAUGAAAACAAAAAUACGAACGAAUGCAUUGGCCAUAGGAGAAUUACAGAGAGUGUGGCAACUAUGAGAGUUAGGGUGAUUUGGGGAAGAAUUGAGAAAAGGGGGAAGUAGAAAUUCUGUGAUGAUGACGAAGUAGGUAUAUGCUCGGAUAUGUCCGGUGCUGGUUUUAUGGUGUCGCUGCUGUCGUCUACGUCGUCGAACGAGAAUGACUGUGCAGUGGCAGACCGACCGAAAUCAGACAACCGACUUUUGAGCGAGCAGAGCAAAACUGUGAAGAUUAUAAAAUAAUGUAGUAUAAUCGCUGUUGGCGGUGGCGGGUAAAUGUUUUUAGCUGGCAGCCUGGUAGUAGUCGUAUUUGGUACUACGUCGGGUGUAUUACGUAUUUCGGAACUUUACUCCCGUUUUGUUUUGUGUGGUAGGUUUUUUGUAUUAUAUUUUGUUUGAUCUGUUUAUCUGUCGGUUGGAUGGCCGUCCGUCGUCGCUUGUUCGUUCGGUGUCGGUCGAUAGGAUCGGAGGUUUUAUUUUGACCGAUUAAUUUAUUAUUUUCUGUGUUUUGUUCGUGUUUUUUUUGUAUUUAUAUAUUUUAUUGACUGACGCCGCCAUCUUUGUGUAGUCUUUAAGUUUUUUUUUUGUAUAUUUUACUCCUCCGUGAAGGUAUUCAAUUUAAUUUUGCGCAGGCAUAUGUAUGUUUUUUUUUUUUGAAAACAAAAAAAACAAACAUCAUCCCUCUCCUCACCCUCCCUUGUGUAUAGAGACUAUUUUUAUGAUAAUUUUUUCAUGAUGAUAUAGAGCUUUUAUUUUAAUUGAUUUUUCGAGUGUUAGUAACAAAUAUAAGACAAGAGGGAUAGAUAAAAAAAAAAAUAAAAAAAAAACUGGAAAAAGAUGAAUAUAUUUAAGAUUUAAAUUAAAUAAUUACGAUAAUUUGCGUUUUAAGAAUUUAUAGUACUUUUUAGGGUUGGGAUAAAUAAUUUUUUCGUAGUGUAAAAUAUAGUAUUAUUUCAUGUAAUUUGCGGUUAGGAGUGCAGUUUUGGUGCUUUUUAACCUUUUAGUAUUGAUUUGAGCUUUUGAAUAUGCAUUUCAGUAAAUUAUCUGAGAAUUUAAUCGUAAUUUUCUUUUUUUAAUUUGAGCGUUGGGCGCCAUUUAAAAGAAGAAAAAGAUUCAAAAAUUGUUUUUUUUUGUGUUUUGGGAUUAGGUAUCACGUCUUAAAAUUAAUAAUACCUACCUUAAUGGAUCAGUGUUUUAUAUGAAAGUUGUGAUAUGGUUGUUUUGAGACGAGAGUUACAACUUUUUGUUCUUGAUACAUUUAAAGUGCUUGAGAACUUGGGUUAUGCAAGAUUCAUUUAUGAUUCUUAAAUUAUGUAUUAUUUUGUUUAACUAGAAUUGAGGAAACUCAAAUGCAUUAAAGUUUGUGGAUCUUUUUGUUGGGCGCCAUUUAAGAAUAGAACAUAACAAGUAGUAGCAAACUCACGUUGGGCGUAGUUAAAUAAAAUAUUAUUUUCUAUUAAUUCUUUUGCUAUGUUCAAGUUCAAGUUUUGCGAUGUAGAUAGUUGACGUUGGGCGCCAUUUCAAAUUAUUGAUGAUUGAUGUUUUUUCAAAAAGCUAUUGAUUAAGUAUCUACUUAAAUAAUGUAAUUGCUAUUUGAAUAUAUUUAUUUAUAUCUAAAAAAAAAAAUAAAAAAAAACUAAACUUGGUUUUAUUGUCAUCCAUAAAUAAGUCCAAACAAAACAUAAAUGGCGCCCAAUGUGAUCUGUUUAGGUAAAAAGUAAAAAUUCUUAAAAAUAAGAAUAGAAAAAGACAUUUUAUUAAAUGGCGCCCAACGUGAGUCAAUUAGCAAAUUUUUAAGAACUUAAUGAAACGGGUUUCAUUAACUUAAUUUUUUGUUGGCUCCUUUACUGGAAAACUUGUUAAAGGUGGUCCCUCAACUAGCUUCUGCUUUAGGUUGAGAUUUUAUAACAGAAUUUCAGGAAUUGAAUUAAAACCUUUCCAUUUCAUAUCGAUUUGUUGGUUUGCUGUUAUUUAUUCGUUUUAGGACCAUUCGAAUCCUUAAUUGUCUGACACUAGUCAAUUUACAUAAGAACUUCAUGAAAAUAGCUACAUCCAUUCUAAUUCAAAUUGACUUUUUGGUUUGCUGUCUUAAUAUUCAUUCAGAGAGCACCAGAAUCCUCAACUGGCUCACGUUGGGCGCCAUUUAAAAAGUUUGCUUAGUAUUAAUUAUUUACAAAGCAUAUAAAAAGCAAAUACACUUUAUAUCUAGUCAUCUUCAAAGCAAGAAGAAACCCACAUUGGGCGCCAUUUUGAAAAGUCUCUUAAAAUUACUUUAGGAACUUUAUGACUUCUUUGGAACUAUUUCCACACAAAAAAAAAAAUCAAAUUAAAGAAAGAAAGAAAAAAAAAA
Long non-coding RNA from Episyrphus balteatus (marmalade hoverfly), 4273 nucleotides. RefSeq lists it as uncharacterized. Lineage: Eukaryota; Metazoa; Arthropoda; Insecta; Diptera; Syrphidae. The transcript has 2 exons. The record is from RefSeq and is a predicted model, not a curated record.